Talpa occidentalis (Iberian mole) is the source of this 2476-nucleotide long non-coding RNA. RefSeq lists it as uncharacterized. NCBI's taxonomy places the organism in Eukaryota, Metazoa, Chordata, Mammalia, Eulipotyphla, Talpidae. The transcript has 4 exons. The record is from RefSeq and is a predicted model, not a curated record.
UGCACUGUGCCUGAUAAGCAGCCAUGAAAGAACAACAAGCUGCAAGAGAGAACAUCUUUGAAAUGCAACCUCACUCCACCUCCCACCAAGGCCAGACUCCUCCUAUAAAAGAUUACCCUCAUCCCCUGAGAGGCACAACUUCUCUGACCUCUGUGGGGGUCAGUGAACUUUACUGGGGCGCAAUAAACUUUUUGCCUGUGAGAAAUUUAGCCUGGUUUUCCUUUUCUUUACCGUACCAACCCUUUCAUCUUGGUGCUGAACCCGGGGAAAGCUGCGUCCCCUGGCGCUGAGGCCACUUUCCCGUCCCAAGGACCUCUCCUCUACAUUGCAGAUGCCUCACAUCCACCACCGACCUUGAUUCCUGGGGGUCACUGGAAAAGCGACUGUCCCUCCGUGCCUGGCUGUGGUGGGCUAGUCCUUCCGGCCCCUGUGACCCUGCCACCGGCGGUCUUGGGUUUGGCAGCUGAGGACUGAAGAGGCCUGGACUCAUGGACCCUGAUAACUUUCGGGGAGCCCAGGGUAAUGGUCAAAGUAGCAGGAGGACGCUGACACAAACACACCUCAGCAACUCACCUGGACAGUCCUGCCUCAAGGUUUUAGAGACAGCCCUCACCUCUCAGGACAGGCCCUCGCCAUGGAUCUAGCAGCCUGUGAUCUCAGUCCUGGCACUCUCCUCCAUUCAUCCAAGCCGCAUUCGAGAGAUGACUCACACCACCUUCAACCAACUACACCCUACUCAAGCCUCCCCACCAGUGAGCCAGGCCAUUGACCUUGUUUUUUGACCUCUCUUCCUCACAUUGCUCCACAUCAGCAGGAAGUAGCCAGAAAGAAUCCUUCACCCUUUAUCCUAUAACUAAAAGGUCAGAAUGUAAGGUCAUCGAUGAGGCAGAGGGAAGAACUUGAAACUGAGACCACCUGCAUCCCGGCAACCUGCAUCCUGGGAGUUGGCUCUACCUGGUUUGCACUGUGCCUGAUAAGCAGCCAUGAAAGAACAAGCGGCAAGAGAGAACAACUUUGUAAAGCAACCUUACUCCACCUCCCACCAAGGCCAGACUCCGUCCUAUAAAAGAUUACCCUGUGAGAAAUUUAGCCUGGCUUUCCUUUUCUUUACUGUACCAACCCUUUCAAUUGUUAUAAGGCAGGGAGAGGGGCAGCCCAGAGCCCGCAAACCUGCCUGCUUUAGAUAAGUUCUGCCAUCUGCCGCAUCAACACAGAACAUGUAAGAUUUUAAUGGGAAGGAACUUUAAUACAAUUAGUAAACAAUACAGGAAAGGCGAAGAAUAUAGUUUCUAAAUUAAGCAUCCAAAGUUACCCAUCCCCUCUUGGGUAAAACUCUACCCAAAUGGAAUUGGCCCAGAGCAAGGCCCCAAAGCCUGCCACAAGUCUAAAGCUACUUCUAGUGGGGACGCACAGAAAAGGGUCAGAAAUAGCCAGACAAGUCUUCUAGGAAAAGAGCAAAAUCAAAAUCAAGAUAAAAGCUGCCAUUGUCACCUCCCCACGGGUGUCUCACCCACAUCUGUGUCCAGUCCACAACCAAGAAGCAAGCACAGUUUCUUCAUGUGUCUCUUGGCUCCAUGUGCCUGCUCAAGUUCUCCUUCCGGCUCCAUCCUGCUUCCUUCCUUCUUCAGCUCUUGAGUUAAAUUCCAAACCUCGGAUUUCUAGUGAGAGUCCAGGAACAAACAAUUUACAAAAUAAGCUCUUAAUCUGUCUCUUCUCCUGUACACCUCAUGGUUCACAAAAAUAAUUAAAGUCGGGCCUCCCUGGUGGCACAAGGGGGUAAGCACCGCACUAUGAAGCAAUCCGCACCCAAUGCAGCAUGAGUUUGAUCCCCGGCCGGCCAGAGAGGAACCCACAUGGCACAGCAGACCUUGCCCGCUGCUCCCCUCAGCAGUGUAUUUCAGUUGAUCUGCCUGCUCUGUUCCCCACUCUGUCUCUGGUGAAUCUUCUCCCCCCCCCACCCCCGCAUCUCUGGUCUGUACCCCAGCUCUUGUAUGCAUAAAUAAAGAAAUCUUUAAAAAAAAAGUUAAAGCCAACAAGUCACUCUUAAAAAUACGAAUUUGAGAUAUGUUUUAUCUAAAGGAAUUGGUAAAUACAGCUUGUAAAUUUAAUCAAUAAAAAUGUCUCAGUGUUUUCACAGACAGAAUAACUACUUCUUGGGUCUCCCUGGUGGUGCAAGGAUUAAAGACAGCUGUCGGGACUAUUGCCAGCCUCUGCAGUGCAAGUUGUAUCCACAGCUGGCCAGGGUACAGCCAACCUCUCCUGCCUACAUGCUGCUCUCCUCUGUUUCAGUAGAUCUUCUUGUUCUGCUCCCCACUCUGUCUCUGGUGAAUCCUCUCACCUGCCAUACUUCUGGCCUGUACCCCAGUUCUUGUAUACAUAAAUAAAUAAAUCUUUUUUAAAAAAUAAAAAUAACUACUACUUAAAACUAAUACACAUGGCCAAAGUUUUAAAAUGAGAAUCAAAAAGUGUGUCUCUC